Long non-coding RNA from Gadus morhua (Atlantic cod), 434 nucleotides. RefSeq lists it as uncharacterized. Lineage: Eukaryota; Metazoa; Chordata; Actinopteri; Gadiformes; Gadidae. The transcript has 4 exons. The record is from RefSeq and is a predicted model, not a curated record.
GCUUUCCGCUGGACUCACGUGCCUUGUGGAGUCGUGAUGGGAUCCACCUGAGUGACGAUCUGGGGAUGCCGCUUCUCGCGAAGCUUCUGUGGCACUUCUCCUUUCGGCAGCUACAGUCACCUCUGCCUGUUACACCUCCGCCUGUGUCUCCUCCCAAGUCACCCCCGACUGUGAGACCCUUUGCUACCACCGUGGUUGUGAAGGGAGAGGUUUCACGUCCACGUACCCUUGACCCCUUCAAGGAAACUGUCGUCGGACGUCGCGGAAAGCGCAGCCAACCUGAGUCCUGGGAUGCGCCUGAGGACUGGGAUCAGUCUUCCGUGCGGAUCCUUCCUCAUGAGGUUUGUGUGCCUCCUCUGGUCCUGAGGGAGUGCUUUGUCGUGCUAAACCCUAUCCGGUUUAGCACUGACAAGUUGGCUGCAAUGGAUCGCAUU